GGCUGGUCUGAUGGUAGUGGGCUAUCAGAACUUAUUAACAUUAGUGUCACUAAAGUUGGUAUUCAACCCCCUCACUGGUAAAUCUGAGUGGCUAAAA
Microcebus murinus (gray mouse lemur) is the source of this 97-nucleotide unclassified non-coding RNA. It matches the Rfam family "Y RNA". Rfam says of the family: Y RNAs are components of the Ro ribonucleoprotein particle (Ro RNP), in association with Ro60 and La proteins. The Y RNAs and Ro60 and La proteins are well conserved, but the function of the Ro RNP is not known. In humans the RNA component can be one of four small RNAs -- hY1, hY3, hY4 and hY5. NCBI's taxonomy places the organism in Eukaryota, Metazoa, Chordata, Mammalia, Primates, Cheirogaleidae. The record is from Ensembl.